Long non-coding RNA from Rhopalosiphum maidis (corn leaf aphid), 170 nucleotides. RefSeq lists it as uncharacterized. The transcript is spliced from 4 exons. Lineage: Eukaryota; Metazoa; Arthropoda; Insecta; Hemiptera; Aphididae. The record is from RefSeq and is a predicted model, not a curated record.
CUUAUCAAAAAAGCCACAGGGCUUACAGACUGUCAAAAUACUAAAUUCAGAGGACUGGUGUGAUCAGAACAAAAAUGAUAUUAUAGAAUAUUAUUCGACGGAACGAAAAGCAAAAUUAAAAGAUGAUUUCACGGGUCGUGUGAAUGUCCUCCUAGAUCACGUGAUUAGUG